This 433-nucleotide ribosomal RNA is filed under the name uncultured bacterium. RNAcentral's name for it is "partial 16S ribosomal RNA". It matches the Rfam family "Bacterial small subunit ribosomal RNA", at positions 29 to 507 of the family's 1533-position model. The record is from RNAcentral.
AACGAACGCUGGCGGCAUGCCUAACACAUGCAAGUCGAACGAGACCUUCGGGUCUAGUGGCGCACGGGUGCGUAACGCGUGGGAACCUGCCCUUAGGUUCGGAAUAACUCCCCGAAAGGGGUGCUAAUACCGGAUAAUGUCUUCGGACCAAAGAUUUAUCGCCUUUGGAUGGGCCCGCGUUGGAUUAGCUAGUUGGUAGGGUAAUAGCCUACCAAGGCGACGAUCCAUAGCUGGUCUGAGAGGAUGAUCAGCCACACUGGGACUGAGACACGGCCCAGACUCCUACGGGAGGCAGCAGUGGGGAAUAUUGGACAAUGGGCGAAAGCCUGAUCCAGCAAUGCCGCGUGAGUGAUGAAGGCCUUAGGGUUGUAAAGCUCUUUUACCCGGGAUGAUAAUGACAGUACCGGGAGAAUAAGCGCCGGCUAACUCCGUG